UAGGGAAUCUUCCACAAUGGACGCAAGUCUGAUGGAGCAACGCCGCGUGAGUGAAGAAGGUUUUCGGACCGUAAAGCUCUGUUGUUGGUGAAGAAGGAUAGAGGUAGUAACUGGCCUUUAUUUGACGGUAAUCAACCAGAAAGUCACGGCUAACUACGUGCCAGCAGCCGCGGUAAUCGUAGGUGGCAAGCGUUGUCCGGAUUUAUUGGGCGUAAAGCGAGCGCAGGCGGAAGAAUAAGUCUGAUGUGAAAGCCCUCGGCUUAACCGAGGAAUUGCAUCGGAAACUGUUUUCUUGAGUGCAGAGGAGGAGAGUAGAACUCCAUGUGUAGCGGUGGAAUGCGUAGAUAUAUGGAAGAAUACCAGUGGCGAAGGCGGCUCUCUGGUCUGCAACUGACGCUGAGGCUCGAAAGCAUGGGUAGCGAACAGGAUUAGAUACCCUGGUAGUCCAUGCCGUAAACGAUGAGUGCUAAGUGUUGGGAGGCUUCCGCCUCUCAGUGCUGCAGCUAACGCAUUAAGCACUCCGCCUGGGGGAGUACGACCGCAAGGUUGAAAC
Molecule: ribosomal RNA, 553 nt
Filed under: uncultured bacterium
Lineage: Bacteria
Description: partial 16S ribosomal RNA
Rfam family: Bacterial small subunit ribosomal RNA
Source: RNAcentral